Molecule: ribosomal RNA, 150 nt
Filed under: uncultured bacterium
Lineage: Bacteria
Description: partial 16S ribosomal RNA
Rfam family: Bacterial small subunit ribosomal RNA
Source: RNAcentral
UAGGGAAUUUUGCGCAAUGGACGAAAGUCUGACGCAGCAACGCCGCGUGAGGGAUGAAGGCCUUCGGGUUGUAAACCUCUGUUGAGUGGGAAAAAAAUGCCAGUAAUGGUACUGAUGGUACCACUUGAGGAAGCACCGGCUAACUACGUG